This 89-nucleotide non-coding RNA is filed under the name unclassified sequences. The record is from RNAcentral.
ACACGACUGCCACCGGGUAGCAACUUUUCAGGUACGCUUUCCAAUUCCAUUAGGUCUAAGAAGGAAUUGAGGAGGGGUACUUUUUUUGA